GGUGGUAUAGUAUAGUGGAUAGUACAACACGUUGUGGAUCGUGAUUCAUGGUUCUCAUGUCUCGUAAAACAUACGAGGAUGUGUAUUGAAUCUUCACAACUGUACCGUGUAGACCUGGGUUCGAUUCCCAGUACCGCCA
Molecule: non-coding RNA, 139 nt
Organism: Hypoxylon sp. CI-4A
Lineage: Eukaryota; Fungi; Ascomycota; Sordariomycetes; Xylariales; Hypoxylaceae
Source: the annotation of a GenBank genome assembly